Molecule: ribosomal RNA, 484 nt
Filed under: uncultured bacterium
Lineage: Bacteria
Description: partial 16S ribosomal RNA
Rfam family: Bacterial small subunit ribosomal RNA
Source: RNAcentral
AUUGAACGCUGGCGGCAUGCUUUACACAUGCAAGUCGAACGGCAGCGCGGGCUUCGGCCUGGCGGCGAGUGGCGAACGGGUGAGUAAUACAUCGGAACGUGCCCAGUAGUGGGGGGUAGCUCGGCGAAAGCCGGAUUAAUACCGCAUACGACCUGAGGGUGAAAGCGGGGGAUCUUCGGACCUCGCGCUAUUGGAGCGGCCGAUGGCAGAUUAGCUAGUUGGUGGGGUAAAGGCCUACCAAGGCGACGAUCUGUAGCUGGUCUGAGAGGACGACCAGCCACACUGGGACUGAGACACGGCCCAGACUCCUACGGGAGGCAGCAGUGGGGAAUUUUGGACAAUGGGCGAAAGCCUGAUCCAGCAAUGCCGCGUGUGUGAUGAAGGCCUUCGGGUUGUAAAGCACUUUUGGCGGGAACGAAAAGGACUGUGCCAAUACCACGGUUCGAUGACGGUACCCGCAGAAUAAGCACCGGCUAACUACGUG